RNAcentral lists this ribosomal RNA (470 nucleotides) under Fusarium lateritium. RNAcentral describes it as "eukaryotic LSU rRNA". The stretch from base 105 to 258 matches the Rfam family "5.8S ribosomal RNA". Lineage: Eukaryota; Fungi; Ascomycota; Sordariomycetes; Hypocreales; Nectriaceae. The record is from RNAcentral.
UCGGCGGAUCAGCCCGCUCCCCGUAAAACGGGACGGCCCGCCAGAGGACCCAAACUCUAAUGUUUCUUAUUGUAACUUCUGAGUAAAACAAACAAAUAAAUCAAAACUUUCAACAACGGAUCUCUUGGUUCUGGCAUCGAUGAAGAACGCAGCAAAAUGCGAUAAGUAAUGUGAAUUGCAGAAUUCAGUGAAUCAUCGAAUCUUUGAACGCACAUUGCGCCCGCUGGUAUUCCGGCGGGCAUGCCUGUUCGAGCGUCAUUUCAACCCUCAAGCCCCCGGGUUUGGUGUUGGGGAUCGGCUCUGCCUCACGGCGGUGCCGCCCCCGAAAUACAUUGGCGGUCUCGCUGCAGCCUCCAUUGCGUAGUAGCUAACACCUCGCAACUGGAACGCGGCGCGGGCCAUGCCGUAAAACCCCAACUUCUGAAUGUUGACCUCGGAUCAGGUAGGAAUACCCGCUGAACUUAAGCAUA